GCCGGUGUGGUGAAAUUGGCAGACGCGCUGGACUCAAAAUCCAGUCCUGGCGACAGGGUAUCGGUUCAAGUCCGAUCACCGGCA
Molecule: transfer RNA, 84 nt
Filed under: Clostridium sp. MSTE9
Lineage: Bacteria; Bacillati; Bacillota; Clostridia; Eubacteriales; Clostridiaceae
Rfam family: tRNA
About the family: Transfer RNA (tRNA) molecules are approximately 80 nucleotides in length. Their secondary structure includes four short double-helical elements and three loops (D, anti-codon, and T loops).
Source: Rfam by way of RNAcentral